Molecule: ribosomal RNA, 496 nt
Filed under: uncultured bacterium
Lineage: Bacteria
Description: partial 16S ribosomal RNA
Rfam family: Bacterial small subunit ribosomal RNA
Source: RNAcentral
GAUGAACGCUGGCGGCGUGCCUAAUACAUGCAAGUCGAGCGAACGGACGAGAAGCUUGCUCCUCUGAUGUUAGCGGCGGACGGGUGAGUAACACGUGGAUAACCUACCUAUAAGACUGGGAUAACUUCGGGAAACCGGAGCUAAUACCGGAUAAUAUUUUGAACCGCAUGGUUCAAAAGUGAAAGACGGUCUUGCUGUCACUUAUAGAUGGAUCCGCGCUGCAUUAGCUAGUUGGUAAGGUAACGGCUUACCAAGGCAACGAUGCAUAGCCGACCUGAGAGGAGGAUCGGCCACACGGGAGCUGAGACGCGGACCAAACUCCGACGGGAGGCAGCAGUAGGAAAUCUUCCGCAAUGAGCGAAAGCCUAACGGAGCAACGCGGCGUGAGUGAUGAAGGUCUACGGAGCGUAAAACUGUGUGAUUGGGGAAGAACAUAUGUGUAAGUAACUGUGCACAUCUGAACGGUACCGAAGCAGAAAGCCACGGCAAACUACGG